AUAUACUGGGAGAAGUGUCCAUAGUUUUUAAAAUUAAUAUAUCCAUUUAACCUAUAGGCUCUUUUGGAGAACUGUCUCCUGAGAUUGGAAAAUAAUAGCCUUUUUCGUCAGUAUUUGGAAUUGGAAGGUUGUAUUACAAUACCUCAGGAUUUGGUCAAGAUUAUGACUCAAUGCCCUUUUGAAUCUCUGAGAAAGAAGACCCUUAAGAUUUUGCAGCUGUAUUUAGAUAAGUUUGAUGAAGAGGGAAAAUACAUAUUAUUUAGGUAUGU
This is a non-coding RNA of Thamnophis sirtalis, 269 nucleotides long. NCBI's taxonomy places the organism in Eukaryota, Metazoa, Chordata, Lepidosauria, Squamata, Natricidae. The record is from RefSeq and is a predicted model, not a curated record.